RNAcentral lists this unclassified non-coding RNA (279 nucleotides) under plant metagenome. RNAcentral's name for it is "partial contains small subunit ribosomal RNA, internal transcribed spacer 1, and 5.8S ribosomal RNA". The record is from RNAcentral.
UUUCCGUAGGUGAACCUGCGGAAGGAUCAUUGUCGAAACCUUCCCAGUAGAACGGGCGGUGAUUCGCAAUUGCUUUCCCGGUCAUCGUGUAUUCACCUCUGCGUUCUCCCAGUGUGAGAUUAGAAGACCUUCACUUUUCGACGAAAUCUCAAUUCACACGACAUACUCUAGUGACUACUUUGAAUGUAUAAACGCUUCAACUCACUUCAAUACAACUUUUAACACCGGAUCCCAUGGCGCUCGCAGCGAUGAAGAACACAGCAGACCGGAAGAGCACAC